GGCUGGACUGAGUGUAGUGGUGUUUACAACUAAUUGAUCACAACCAGUUACAGAUUUCUUUGUUCUUUCUCCAUUCCCACUGCUUCACUUGACUAGCCUUAA
Molecule: Y RNA, 102 nt
Filed under: Aotus nancymaae (Ma's night monkey)
Lineage: Eukaryota; Metazoa; Chordata; Mammalia; Primates; Aotidae
Description: Y RNA (ENSANAG00000006618.1)
Rfam family: Y RNA
About the family: Y RNAs are components of the Ro ribonucleoprotein particle (Ro RNP), in association with Ro60 and La proteins. The Y RNAs and Ro60 and La proteins are well conserved, but the function of the Ro RNP is not known. In humans the RNA component can be one of four small RNAs -- hY1, hY3, hY4 and hY5.
Source: Rfam by way of RNAcentral